CACUUCAUAGCAUAUUAUGGUGUGCACUUGCUUCAGUUAUAAGGGCACAGCCGAAGUUGAGCAAGCAAGAAGCCCCGGUUCGAUUCCGGGUCGAGUGA
Non-coding RNA from Mycena metata, 98 nucleotides. The record is from the annotation of a GenBank genome assembly. Lineage: Eukaryota; Fungi; Basidiomycota; Agaricomycetes; Agaricales; Mycenaceae.